RNAcentral lists this transfer RNA (55 nucleotides) under Chlamydomonas leiostraca. RNAcentral describes it as "partial tRNA". The record is from RNAcentral. Lineage: Eukaryota; Viridiplantae; Chlorophyta; Chlorophyceae; Chlamydomonadales; Chlamydomonadaceae.
AUGGCAGCUGCAGCAAGUGCUGCGAUGCCUGCAGCGACAAGGCCAUGCGUCAAGC